UAGGACUUCACCGACAGAAUAAGCACCGGCUAACGUUGUGCCUGCAGCCGCGGUGAUACGGAUGGUGCAAGGGUGAAUCGUAAUUACUGGGCGUAAGGCGCACGCGGGCGGUUUGUUAAGUCAGAUGUGAAAUCCCCGACCUUGGCUUGGGAACUGCAUUUGAAACUGGAAAGCUAGAGUCUUGAAGAGGGGGGUAGAAUUCCAGGUGUACCGGUGAAAUGCUUAGAGAUCUGGAGGAAUACCGGUGGCGAAGGCGGCCCCCUGGACAAAGACUGACGCUCAGGUGCGAAAGCGUGGGGAGCAAACAGGAUUAGAUACCCUGGUAGUCCACGCUGUAAACGAUGUCGACUUGGAGGUUGUGCCCUUGAGGCGUGGCUUCCGGAGCUAACGCGUUAAGUCGACCGCCUGGGGAGUACGGCCGCAAGGUUAAAACUCAAAUGAAUUGACGGGGGCCCGCACAAGCGGUGGAGCAUGUGGUUUAAUUCGAUGCAACGCGAAGAACCUUACCUACUCUUGACAUCCACAGAACUUUCCAGAGAUGGAUUGGUGCCUUCGGGAACUGUGAGACAGGUGCUGCAUGGCUGUCGUCAGCUCGUGUUGUGAAAUGUUGGGUUAAGUCCCGCAACGAGCGCAACCCUUAUCCUUUGUGGCCAGCGCGUAAUGGCGGGAACUCAAAGGAGACUGCCGGUGAUAAACCGGAGGAAGGUGGGGAUGACGUCAAGUCAUCAUGGCCCUCACGAGUAGGGUUACACCCGUGCUACAAUGGCAUAUACAAAGAGAAGCGAACUCGCGAGAGCAAGCGGACCUCAUAAAGUAUGUCGUAGUCCGGAUCCGAGUCUGCAACUAGACUCCGUGAAGUCGGAAUCGCUAGUAAUCGUAGAUCAGAAUGAUACGGGGAAUACGUUCCCGGGCCUUGAUCACACCUCCCGUCACACCAUGGGAGUGGGUUGCAAAAGAAGUAGGUAGCUUAACCUUCGGGAGGGCGUAUACCAGUUUGUGAUUCAAGAGCCGGGU
RNAcentral lists this ribosomal RNA (1014 nucleotides) under uncultured bacterium. RNAcentral's name for it is "bacterial SSU rRNA". It matches the Rfam family "Bacterial small subunit ribosomal RNA", at positions 468 to 1481 of the family's 1533-position model. The record is from RNAcentral.